CACAGCAAAAUCACCAGUGUUAAAUUUUCAGGGAUGGUGUUAAAUACACAGUGUUGAUGCUGUUUUAACACUAUCUGGUAAUAAAAUAACACUGCCAUUGCUAGGCCAGUGUUAUAUCCACGACAGUGUCAGUGUAAAACAAGGGUGUUACCAGAUUUCACACUGAGCUGUGUAAAUCAAGCCACGCCUCCACUAAACAUUUCCUGUCAGGGAUUUUACCGCCAUUUUCUUUCAAAGGAGGACUGAAGAGAGCAGGUAAAUCUCAUAAUAUUCACAUGGUUUAGCUAAAUUAAACUGUUAUUUCUCUGUCUGACUCUACGCAGCCAUUUGCCAAAAAACCUAAAUAAGAUAUUUUUCCCAUUUUAUUUCCCCUUUGUUCGUUAUUUGGUUCAGUUUAAUCAGAGCUACCUUGUGUUACGUUGUUCCCUUGUUAGUUUGGUAUAAAGUUAAACUGCUAGCUAAAAGUUUUAACCAAGAAGGAUAAUAUUAACAGGAGACAUGAAUGAAUGUAAGAAUUGAACCAUGAUAAAACGCGACAUGCACUACAAAUUGAAGGUAUGAAAUUAAGUUAAAUGAAAGCUCGUUUAUUCACCACAUGAUGCUCGUUAUGAGGUAAUCAUAUAGGCUAGAUACCGUGAGUUAACGAGGUCGUUUACAUGCACGUGAGUGCACGGAUAUCGGUUAAUUAUUCAAAUUACUGAAAAACACGGAGGAAACCGCAACCGCAUCGUCAUGUGUUUUUUUUUUUAGAUGUAUGCAAACAGGGAAAAUAUCGCCAAACCAACAAUUAAUUUUACCUCAGAAUAUGCACAGAUUGGAUGCAUUGUGUGUUGUAAGCUUUUCGUGGCGCUAGAUGUCAGACAGAUGCAAAUAGCAAAUACAUACGAAAGUGUAAAACGUGUAUGGCGAACAUUUGUUUUUCUGUCAUUAUAGAUGCUAGUUUGGUGAAAGUACACACUGAGUGCUUAAAAUCAUUCAGAAGAGAUGCUGUUUUUAGGGCAGUUUAUUAAAGAAGACCUGACAUGGAUGACUUCCAAUGAGAAACGACUGCUAAUACUUAUAUAAAUUCAUUACAGAAGGACCCUACCAGACUAUAUUUGAAUACGGCAUACCCAUGAAUUCUGGAACUGUUAUUCCUUAACCCAGUUUGGAGGAUAAGAGCUUACCAACUAUAAAUAUGCUGAGGUGAUGUAUUGCAAAAUAGCCAACAUACAACAAUUAAAGGAUAAUUGCAGCCUAUAUCCUGAUGAAGAUAUGGAUGACCCUCUGUCUGGUCAACAAUAGUUUAAAUAUGGAUGGGACAGUGAUGUGGCAGCUCUUCCCUGGCUCAUUCACCUCUUGCCUUCAUUUGUGAAAGGAAGAAAGACUGGAGAGGGUCAAUGUGCAACUGAAGCUACUGAUUGUGCUGUGUGAUGAGCAUCAAUCCAUGCUUUGAGGUGGAUGGAUCAGCACAGCCCUGCCUGCUCUGCGUUGGGAACAGAAGUUGCAUCCAGAAUUUUUGCAUCAUUCUGGACCAAAAAGCCAUUCCCUGCAUGAUGAAGACCACUGAUGCAGCCUUCCACUACUGUACAGUAAAACAACUACAGAACUAAAUACCAGGUUGGAACGUGUUUAAGAAAAAUGAAACGUCUUUUGAAUUGAAAUGUCUGUUUUGUUAUGGAAAAAUCUUUAGUAUUGUGAAGGAUAAGCAUUUCUGCUUGCCGAUAAGGUAAUUGCAUGUAU
This is a non-coding RNA of Misgurnus anguillicaudatus (oriental weatherfish), 1722 nucleotides long. The record is from RefSeq and is a predicted model, not a curated record. Lineage: Eukaryota; Metazoa; Chordata; Actinopteri; Cypriniformes; Cobitidae.